RNAcentral lists this non-coding RNA (818 nucleotides) under Longitarsus curtus. Lineage: Eukaryota; Metazoa; Arthropoda; Insecta; Coleoptera; Chrysomelidae. The record is from RNAcentral.
UAGAUUAUUUUAAGUUAAUUGAUUAAUUUGCAGGGAGGAAAGAUCUAGAUGUUUAUAAAAUAGUUUUUGUUAAAAAAGUUUUACUUUAGCUUAAGAAAUUAGGUAUUAUUUUUUAUUAUAUGUAAAUUUUAUUAAAGAAUAAUUUGCAGUAUUUAAUAUUAUUAAUUUAAGAAAUUAAGAAUUAUAAAUAAUAUAAAAUAUAAACUAAAUUUGUGCCAGCAGUUGCGGUUAUACAAAUUAUAUAAAUUAAUUUUAUUAAUUUUAAUUAGUUAGUAAUAUUAAAUUUUUAAAUUAAGUUUGUUAAGUGAAAUUAUAAAUUUAAAAUAAAAUUUUAAUUUGGUAAUAAUUUUAAGAAGUUUUAGAUAUAGACUAGGAUUAGAUACCCUAUUAUUUAAAAGGUAAUUUAUUAAUUUAAUUAGUAUUAGUUAUGAUCUUGAAAAUUAAAAAUUUUGGCGGUAUUUUAAUCUAUUCAGAGGAACCUGUUCUAUAAAUGAUAAUCCACGAUUUUAAUUACUUUUAUUAUUAAUUUAUAUAUCGUCGUUAUUUAAAUAUUUUUGUAGAAUUAUAAUAUUUAAAAUUUUUUAUAUAAAAAUAUUUCAGAUCAAGGUAUAGUUUAUAUAAAAGUAGAAAUGGGUUACAAUAAAUGUAUUUUUGGAUUUAUAUUUUUAAAGUAUAAUAAAUUUGGAUUUGAUAGUAAUUUUAAUUAAUUUAUUAAGAUGAUUUUAGUACUAAAAUAUGUACAUAUUGCCCGUCACUUUCAUUUAAUAUGAAAUAAGUCGUAACAGAGUAGAUUUACUGGAAAGUGUAUCUAGAAAACA